AUGUCUGAACUCAGGCGCAUUCAAAUGUUAGUGUUUCUGAUCCUGAUGCUUCAGUUCACAGUCACUGAACAACUUUCCUCCUUCGUCGCUGUCAGAGCUGGAGACGACGUCACUUUGACUUGUGAACAUGUGAAAGAUGAACAGGAUGAAUGUCAGAACAUAGAAUGGAUCUACAAUGAUGCAGCUCACACCAGAACUGAUGGACUGGUUAGAAAUGGACAGAUUGAGGCAUCCAGAUCAAACAGACUGAGACUUGGAGAGAAAUGUUCUCUGGUCAUAAAGAACGUCACAGAUCAGGAUGUUGGUCGUUACGUCUGCAGACAAGUGGAAUUCUCUCAGGUUUUUCUUUUUGUUGUUACCAGUGAGUAUCAUUGUGUCUUCAACUCAACCUGUUUUGUUAUAACAUUGAUUAAAACAAUUAGAAUUGCAGUGUGAAGUUAAUUUUAAUCUAGUUUGUUUUAACAUUAUUUCUUUACCAGUGAUUGGAAAGGAGAUUGAGCAUGCGACCAGCUUCUACUGUUACGUGUCAACACAUAAAGACUGUGAACCAUCAGUGAAGUUCCUACAUGAUGAUAAAGUCGUUUUAGGUCACAGAGACCUGAAGGCAUCACAGACUCACUACUACGCUGUCGUGUCCUUUGAGGAGUUUAACUCACCAAUGCUGAACUCAUUAAUUUGUGAAGUGACUGAUUGUUACAGUAACGUUCAUAAGUUUCCUCUCAGAUCUCAGGCCUCAGGUGAGAAGAUCAAAUGUUUGUUUCCACGUGAUGUCAGUGUUUCACAUCCAGCUACAAUAAUAUGACUUUUACAGAUGAAGACACAAAACCAGCAAUGACUGAAUCAACAACUGUUGAAAACUUAGUUACAGCAUUGAUCACUGAAGCUUCAGCAGAAAAACAAGGUGAAGUUUCAUUUAAAUUCAUUGUGUAUUAUUUCUUUCUCAUAGUUGAAGGUGGAGGAAGUAAAACAUGUGGUGAGUGUUUUCCAGGUUGGUGGAGGAUCAUCAUCGUCUCUGUGGGUUUAACAACACUCAUAAUCACUGUUGUUACAGUCGACAUAUGGAUCAGAACCAAAGGUGAGAACAUUCAGUGAUGACGUUUGAUGAGGAGACCUUUAAAUGUUGAGUCUUCACUGGU
RNAcentral lists this long non-coding RNA (1136 nucleotides) under Betta splendens (Siamese fighting fish). RNAcentral's name for it is "lncRNA (ENSBSLG00000024101.1)". Lineage: Eukaryota; Metazoa; Chordata; Actinopteri; Anabantiformes; Osphronemidae. The record is from RNAcentral.